CCUACGGGUGGCAGCAGUGAGGAAUAUUGGUCAAUGGGCGGAAGCCUGAACCAGCCAAGUCGCGUGAGGGAAUAAGGCCCUACGGGUCGUAAACCUCUUUUGCCGGGGAGCAAGGGCGGGGACGUGUCCCGUCCCGGAGAGUACCCGGAGAAAAAGCAUCGGCUAACUCCGUGCCAGCAGCCGCGGUAAUACGGAGGAUGCGAGCGUUAUCCGGAUUUAUUGGGUUUAAAGGGUGCGUAGGCGGGCUUUUAAGUCAGCGGUAAAAAUUCGGGGCUCAACCCCGUCCGGCCGUUGAUACUGGGGGCCUUGAGUGGGCGAGAGGAAGGCGGAAUGCGUGGUGUAGCGGUGAAAUGCAUAGAUAUCACGCAGAACCCCGAUUGCGAAGGCAGCCUUCCGGCGCCCUACUGACGCUGAGGCACGAAAGUGCGGGGAUCGAACAGGAUUAGAUACCCUUGUAGUC
RNAcentral lists this ribosomal RNA (460 nucleotides) under uncultured bacterium. RNAcentral's name for it is "partial 16S ribosomal RNA". It matches the Rfam family "Bacterial small subunit ribosomal RNA", at positions 338 to 795 of the family's 1533-position model. The record is from RNAcentral.